UACGUAGGGUGCGAGCGUUGUCCGGAAUUAUUGGGCGUAAAGGGCUCGUAGGCGGUUUGUCGCGUCGGGAGUGAAAACCCAGGGCUUAACCCUGGGCUGGCUUCCGAUACGGGCAGACUAGAGGUAUGCAGGGGAGAACGGAAUUCCUGGUGUAGCGGUGAAAUGCGCAGAUAUCAGGAGGAACACCGGUGGCGAAGGCGGUUCUCUGGGCAUUACCUGACGCUGAGGCGCGAAAGCUAGGGGAGCGAACUGG
This 253-nucleotide ribosomal RNA is filed under the name uncultured bacterium. RNAcentral's name for it is "partial 16S ribosomal RNA". It matches the Rfam family "Bacterial small subunit ribosomal RNA", at positions 524 to 776 of the family's 1533-position model. The record is from RNAcentral.